AUGCUAGGAUUGGCGGCGAUCGACCGUGCAAGGAAACGACAGGCAUCGCGCCUAACUUGGCUCCGGUUGGGCGACGCGGGCAAAAAAUUCUUCCAUGCAAAGAUGAGAUCGCGACGCCGAAGAAAAUUCAUACACAGCAUCCAGGUGGCUGGUGAGAUCGCCACGGCGCACGAAGACAAGGAGAGGAUGAUUCAUCAGCAUUUCCAGGCGAGUCUGGGCUCCAAGGCUGCUCGCCUGAUCGACAUCAACUGGGAAUCGCUGAACAUGCCGACGAUCCAGGGAGGGGGCCUGGAUAAC
This 297-nucleotide ribosomal RNA is filed under the name Triticum aestivum (bread wheat). RNAcentral describes it as "partial small subunit ribosomal RNA". The record is from RNAcentral. Lineage: Eukaryota; Viridiplantae; Streptophyta; Magnoliopsida; Poales; Poaceae.